Molecule: long non-coding RNA, 360 nt
Organism: Hibiscus syriacus
Lineage: Eukaryota; Viridiplantae; Streptophyta; Magnoliopsida; Malvales; Malvaceae
Exons: 2
Source: RefSeq, a predicted model, not a curated record
AUCCACCUUAUAGGAACACAAUCGGUGUCUCCGUUGGCGGAUGGGCAGUAAUUCGGUUUGUUGCUGACAAUCCAGGGGUUUGGUUUAUGCAUUGCCACUUAGACAUACACCAAUCGUGGGGAUUAGUCGCGGUGUUGUCAGUGGAGAAUGGAAAGGGAGAGCUCGAGACUUUGCCUCAUCCUCCUACAGACCUGCCUCACUGCUAGAUCACCUUGUGUAUUUCUUUGAUAUUUCUCACCAAGUAUUUUGCUUUGGGUGCAAGUGUGUUAUAUGGUCCGCUCCAUUUCUUUAAUUGGAAUUGGCAAAUUGUAUUUGUAAACAAGAAAAGAUUGGAGUAAUAAAAUCCCACAUUUCUUUUCC